UACGUAGGGCGCAAGCGUUGUUCGGAUUUACUGGGCGUAAAGGGCGCGUAGGCGGCAAUUCAAGUCAUCUGUGAAAUCUCCGGGCUUAACUCGGAACGGUCAGAUGAUACUGUUUUGCUAGAGUGCAGAAGGGGCAAUCGGAAUUCUUGGUGUAGCGGUGAAAUGCGUAGAUAUCAAGAGGAACACCUGAGGUGAAGACGGGUUGCUGGGCUGACACUGACGCUGAGGCGCGAAAGCCAGGGGAGCAAACGGG
RNAcentral lists this ribosomal RNA (253 nucleotides) under uncultured bacterium. RNAcentral describes it as "partial 16S ribosomal RNA". It matches the Rfam family "Bacterial small subunit ribosomal RNA", at positions 524 to 776 of the family's 1533-position model. The record is from RNAcentral.